This is a non-coding RNA of Pelobates cultripes (western spadefoot toad), 332 nucleotides long. The record is from the annotation of a GenBank genome assembly. Lineage: Eukaryota; Metazoa; Chordata; Amphibia; Anura; Pelobatidae.
GGAUGGGUGAAGGGGGCACUGGGGCUGGGAUGGGUUAAGGGGGCACUGGGGCUGGGAUGGGUGACGGGGGCACUGGGGCUGGGAUUGGUGAAAGGGGGCUCAGGGGCUGGGAUGGGUGAAAGGAGGCACAGGGCCUGGGAUAGGUGAAGGGGGCACAGGUGCUGGGCUGGGUGAAUGGGGUACAGGUGCUGGGAUAGGUGAAGAGGCACAAGUACUGGGCUGGAUGAAGGGGGUACAGGUGCUGGGCACAGGUGAAGGGGUACAGGUGCUGUGAAGGGGCACAAGGCCUGGGAUGGGUGAAGAGGGUACAGGUGCUAGGAUGGGUGAAGGGG